Non-coding RNA from Rattus rattus (black rat), 459 nucleotides. Lineage: Eukaryota; Metazoa; Chordata; Mammalia; Rodentia; Muridae. The record is from the annotation of a RefSeq genome assembly.
AUGAAAUCUUUGAGUGUUUCACUAGUGGUCCUGUGGCUUCAGCUACACAGGGUGAGGAGCCAGGAGAAGGUGCAGCAGAAUCCAGACAUCCUCAUCGUCGCAGAGGGAGCCACGGCCUCUUUCAACUGUACUUCCAGUGAUCGUAAUGUCGACUACUUCUGGUGGUACAGACAGCAUUCUGGGAAAGCCCCCAAGAUGUUGAUGUCCAUCAUCUCCAAUGGUGUAAAGGAAGAAGGCAGAUUCACAGCUCACUUCAAUAAAGCCAGCUUGCAUGUUUCCCUGCACAUCAAUGACUCUCAACCCAGCGACUCUGCUGUCUACCUCUGUGCAGUGAGCGCACAGUGCUCCCCAGCCACCUGCAGGCUGCACACAAACCUACUGUGCCCAAAAGACCUGAGACAGAACAAACAGUAUCCAGUGGAGACAUUCUGCUUCUAUUCUGUAUGCAAUAGGAAUUAA